This 222-nucleotide RNase P RNA is filed under the name Salmonella enterica subsp. enterica serovar Typhimurium. RNAcentral describes it as "partial RNase P RNA component class A". It matches the Rfam family "Bacterial RNase P class A", at positions 136 to 367 of the family's 367-position model. Rfam says of the family: Ribonuclease P (RNase P) is a ubiquitous endoribonuclease, found in archaea, bacteria and eukarya as well as chloroplasts and mitochondria. The record is from RNAcentral. Lineage: Bacteria; Pseudomonadati; Pseudomonadota; Gammaproteobacteria; Enterobacterales; Enterobacteriaceae.
CGUAAGUGGGAUCAGGUAAGGGUGAAAGGGUGCGGUAAGAGCGCACCGCGCGGCUGGUAACAGUCCGUGGCACGGUAAACUCCACCCGGAGCAAGGCCAAAUAGGGGUUCAUAAGGUACGGCCCGUACUGAACCCGGGUAGGCUGCUUGAGCCAGUGAGCGAUUGCUGGCCUAGAUGAAUGACUGUCCACGACAGAACCCGGCUUAUCGGUCAGUUUCACUU